ACUCCUACGGGAGGCAGCAGUGGGGAAUAUUGGACAAUGGGCGCAAGCCUGAUCCAGCCAUGCCGCGUGGGUGAAGAAGGCCUUCGGGUUGUAAAGCCCUUUUGUUGGGAAAGAAAAGCAGUCGGUUAAUACCCGAUUGUUCUGACGGUACCCAAAGAAUAAGCACCGGCUAACUUCGUGCCAGCAGCCGCGGUAAUACGAAGGGUGCAAGCGUUACUCGGAAUUACUGGGCGUAAAGCGUGCGUAGGUGGUGGUUUAAAGUCUGUUGUGAAAGCCCUGGGCUCAACCUGGGAAUUGCAGUGGAUACUGGGUCACUAGAGUGUGGUAGAGGGUAGCGGAAUUCCCGGUGUAGCAGUGAAAUGCGUAGAGAUCGGGAGGAACAUCCGUGGCGAAGGCGGCUACCUGGACCAACACUGACACUGAGGCACGAAAGCGU
Molecule: ribosomal RNA, 436 nt
Filed under: uncultured bacterium
Lineage: Bacteria
Description: bacterial SSU rRNA
Rfam family: Bacterial small subunit ribosomal RNA
Source: RNAcentral